GUGUUUGCUUCGGCAGCACAUAUACUAAAAUUGGAACGAUACAGAGAAGAUUAUUAGCAUGACCCCUGUGAAAGGAUGACAUGCAAAUUUGUGAAGUGUUCCAUAUUUUU
This is a small nuclear RNA of Dipodomys ordii (Ord's kangaroo rat), 110 nucleotides long. The record is from Ensembl. NCBI's taxonomy places the organism in Eukaryota, Metazoa, Chordata, Mammalia, Rodentia, Heteromyidae.